AAAAAAAAAAGGAAAAAAACAUAUUUUCUCUUUCCCUUUCAUCUUUUCCUCUCCUCCGUAGCAGCAAGCAUCAUCUCAGCAGCUUUCUCUUUCUUCUAAAACCCUAUUUCACUUACGUUCCCUCCCAUUACCGGCCACUGCACCCCGUCCCGCCGGUUGCCGCAUUCCCAUCAUCCCCGUUGCAGUCCGAGCGGCUGCCGCAGCCUCAACCUUACGACGAGCUCGCCGCCGCUCCCUCUCACACUCUCUCGCCUAUCCGAGCAAGCAGAGUUACUUAUCUCUGUUUUUUCUUUCUUCUUCUCAGAAACAGAAACCGUGGUUCAUCCCCUUACCCACGCCAUUGGCACGUUAGAUUUUGAGCAUCAGAGAUUCCACCCAGAUGGACAAGGUGAAGAUAGAAGAGGUGCAAUCAACCUCUAAGAAGCAACGGGUAGCCACUCACACUCACAUUAAAGGCCUUGGUCUUGAGGCCUCAGGAAAGGCAAUGCCACUAGCUUCAGGUUUUGUGGGUCAAUCAGAAGCCAGAGAAGCAGCAGGGCUAGUUGUUGAUAUGAUACGUCAGAAGAAAAUGGCUGGCCGAGCACUUCUUCUAGCUGGACCUCCUGGUACUGGAAAGACUGCGCUUGCACUUGGAAUUUCACAGGAGCUAGGAAGCAAGGUGCCCUUUUGUCCAAUGGUUGGGUCUGAAGUAUACUCAUCCGAAGUGAAGAAAACUGAGGUUUUGAUGGAAAAUUUCCGACGAUCUAUUGGUCUACGUAUCAAGGAAAAUAAAGAGGUCUAUGAGGGAGAGGUGACUGAACUUUCACCAGAAGAAACAGAGAGCGUGACUGGUGGCUAUGGCAAAAGCAUAAGCCAUGUUAUUAUUGGUUUGAAAACUAUUAAAGGAACAAAGCAACUAAAAUUGGACCCGACCAUCUAUGAUGCCUUAAUUAAAGAGAAGGUAGCUGUUGGUGAUGUUAUAUAUAUAGAAGCAAAUAGUGGAGCUGUAAAAAGGGUGGGUAGAAGUGAUGCUUUUGCUACGGAGUUUGAUCUUGAAGCUGAAGAAUAUGUUCCACUUCCUAAAGGGGAGGUCCACAAAAGGAAAGAAAUAGUCCAGGAUGUGACUCUACAUGAUCUAGAUGCUGCCAAUGCACGGCCUCAAGGUGGACAGGAUAUACUAUCUCUAAUGGGUCAGAUGAUGAAGCCAAGGAAAACGGAAAUCACAGACAAGUUGCGGCAAGAAAUAAAUAAGGUGGUUAACCGAUAUAUCGAUGAAGGUAUAGCAGAGCUAGUCCCUGGAGUUCUAUUCAUUGAUGAGGUGCAUAUGCUGGAUAUGGAGUGCUUUUCGUAUUUGAAUCGAGCUUUAGAGAGCUCACUGUCCCCAAUAGUGAUCUUUGCAACAAAUAGAGGAAUCUGCAAUGUGCGAGGGACGGAUAUGAAUAGUCCUCAUGGAAUACCUGUUGAUUUGUUGGACCGACUGGUGAUCAUCCGAACUCAAACUUAUGGCCCUGCCGAGAUGAUUCAGAUAUUAGCCAUUCGGGCACAGGUCGAAGAGUUGGUUGUAGAUGAAGAAAGUUUAGCUUUCCUUGGGGAGAUGGGCCAGAGAACAUCGUUAAGACAUGCGGUUCAAUUGCUGUCGCCUGCUAGUGUUGUGGCGAAAAUGAAUGGUCGAGACAGCAUAUGCAAGGGAGAUCUCGAAGAAGUUUGUGCUCUCUAUCUGGAUGCCAAGUCUUCGGCAAGGCUUCUUCAAGAGCAGCAAGAAAAAUAUAUUUCUUGAUUUGUUUUUUCCAAAUGCUUCUCCGUUUUUAACCAUUUCCCACCAAGAGACAUUUAUCUCAAGAGGAAAUUUUUCUUUUAUCUCGCAGUGUAAAGAUGGAGAAGAGGGAUAGGGAAUAUUCAGUGGAAGCCCAAAUGAUUGUCUUGUGAGACUAGUGAGAGGUGGACACUCACUAAUAUAGGAAUGAAGAAAGAUAAUUGUAUUCAUUUAGGUGAAUCAAGGAUUGGGAAUGAAAAUUUUCAUUGCCUUUGAUUUUUAUUUUUACCAAAAUGUAGGAAUGAAUCAAUUUAAUUUACUGCCAGGUCGAGAAUCUCUAUCCCAUAAAGUGAUAAUCUUGUUUCUCUUCAAAAUUCUUAUCAAUUCAUUUUUUAUUUCGUGGAUCGA
Molecule: RNA transcript, 2140 nt
Organism: Benincasa hispida (wax gourd)
Lineage: Eukaryota; Viridiplantae; Streptophyta; Magnoliopsida; Cucurbitales; Cucurbitaceae
Gene: RIN1
Gene name: P-loop containing nucleoside triphosphate hydrolases superfamily protein
Source: RefSeq, a predicted model, not a curated record